AGAAAUAGGUGCUAAUACCGCAUAAGCGCACGGCUCCGCAUGGGGCAGUGUGAAAAACUCCGGUGGUAUACGAUGGAUCCGCGUCUGAUUAGCUAGUUGGCGGGGUAACGGCCCACCAAGGCAGCGAUCAGUAGCCGGCCUGAGAGGGUGGACGGCCACAUUGGGACUGAGCCACGGCCCAAACUCCUACGGGAGGCAGCAGUGGGGAAUAUUGCACAAUGGGGGAAACCCUGAUGCAGCGACGCCGCGUGAGUGAAGAAGUAUCUCGGUACGUAAAGCUCUAUCAGCAGGGAAGAAAAUGACGGUACCUGACUAAGAAGCCCCGGCUAACUACGUGCCAGCAGCCGCGGUAAUACGUAGGGGGCAAGCGUUAUCCGGAUUUACUGGGUGUAAAGGGAGCGUAGACGGCAGCACAAGUCUGGAGUGAAAUCCCGGGGCUUAACCCCGGAACUGCUUUGGAAACUGUGCGGCUGGAGUGCAGGAGGGGUAAGCGGAAUUCCUAGUGUAGCGGUGAAAUGCGUAGAUAUUAGGAGGAACACCGGUGGCGAAGGCGGCUUACUGGACUGUAACUGACGUUGAGGCUCGAAAGCGUGGGGAGCAAACAGGAUUAGAUACCCUGGUAGUCCACGCCGUAAANGAUGAUUACUAGGUGU
Molecule: ribosomal RNA, 653 nt
Filed under: uncultured bacterium
Lineage: Bacteria
Description: bacterial SSU rRNA
Rfam family: Bacterial small subunit ribosomal RNA
Source: RNAcentral